GACGAACGCUGGCGGCGUGCUUAACACAUGCAAGUCGAACGGAAAGGCCCUGCUUUUGUGGGGUGCUCGAGUGGCGAACGGGUGAGUAACACGUGAGUAACCUGCCCUUGACUUUGGGAUAACUUCAGGAAACUGGGGCUAAUACCGGAUAGGAGCUCCUGCUGCAUGGUGGGGGUUGGAAAGUUUCGGCGGUUGGGGAUGGACUCGCGGCUUAUCAGCUUGUUGGUGGGGUAGUGGCUUACCAAGGCUUUGACGGGUAGCCGGCCUGAGAGGGUGACCGGCCACAUUGGGACUGAGAUACGGCCCAGACUCCUACGGGAGGCAGCAGUGGGGAAUAUUGCACAAUGGGCGGAAGCCUGAUGCAGCAACGCCGCGUGCGGGAUGACGGCCUUCGGGUUGUAAACCGCUUUCGCCUGUGACGAAGCGUGAGUGACGGUAAUGGGUAAAGAAGCACCGGCUAACUACGUGCCAGCAGCCGCGGUGAUACGUAGGGUGCGAGCGUUGUCCGGAUUUAUUGGGCGUAAAGGGCUCGUAGGUGGUUGAUCGCGUCGGAAGUGUAAUCUUGGGGCUUAACCCUGAGCGUGCUUUCGAUACGGGUUGACUUGAGGAAGGUAGGGGAGAAUGGAAUUCCUGGUGGAGCGGUGGAAUGCGCAGAUAUCAGGAGGAACACCAGUGGCGAAGGCGGUUCUCUGGGCCUUUCCUGACGCUGAGGAGCGAAAGCGUGGGGAGCGAACAGGCUUAGAUACCCUGGUAGUCCACGCUGUAAACGGUGGGUACUAGGUGUGGGGUCCAUUCCACGGGUUCCGUGCCGUAGCUAACGCUUUAAGUACCCCGCCUGGGGAGUACGGCCGCAAGGCUAAAACUCAAAGGAAUUGACGGGGCCCCGCACAAGCGGCGGAGCAUGCGGAUUAAUUCGAUGCAACGCGUAGAACCUUACCUGGGUUUGACAUGGAUCGGGAGUGCUCAGAGAUGGGUGUGCCUCUUUUGGGGUCGGUUCACAGGUGGUGCAUGCCUGUCGUCAGCUCGUGUCGUGAGAUGUUGGGUUAAGUCCCGCAACGAGCGCAACCCUUGUUCACUGUUGCCAGCACGUUAUGGUGGGGACUCAGUGGAGACCGCCGGGGUCAGCUCGGAGGAAGGUGGGGAUGACGUCAAGUCAUCAUGCCCCUUAUGUCCAGGGCUUCACGCAUGCUACAAUGGCUGGUACAGAGAGUGGCGAGCCUGUGAGGGUGAGCGAAUCUCGGAAAGCCGGUCUCAGUUCGGAUUGGGGUCUGCAACUCGACCUCAUGAAGUCGGAGUCGCUAGUAAUCGCAGAUCAGCAACGCUGCGGUGAAUACGUUCCCGGG
Molecule: ribosomal RNA, 1343 nt
Filed under: uncultured bacterium
Lineage: Bacteria
Description: 16S ribosomal RNA
Rfam family: Bacterial small subunit ribosomal RNA
Source: RNAcentral